UGGACUGUCGGAAGGUGGCUGAGCGGCCCAUUGGGGAUGCUGGCAGCCCACCCACAGCUGGUUUCAUCACACUAGGGAGGCUAGCCAAGGCCAGAGGGCCACGGAGCAGCUCAGCCACAUUCCAGCUCCAGAUGUUGCAGAUCAUGUGCAGCGAUACGUGGGCGGACAAGGACAGGUGCUGCGAGCUUCCUGCAUUGAGGGAUGGAGAGACAUGCCCGGCCUUCCCUUUAGCCUGUACCUACUCAUCUGAGACCCCUGGGCCACCAGGGCCCCAAGGCCCUCCAGGCCUCCCUGGAAGGAAUGGCACUCCAGGACAGCAGGGACACCCAGGACCCAAGGGAGAGCCUGGCCCACCUGGACAAACAGGACCCGAAGGCCCUGGAGGUCAGCAGGGGUCACCAGGGACCCAGGGCCGUGCAGUCCAGGGACC
Molecule: long non-coding RNA, 430 nt
Filed under: Rattus norvegicus (Norway rat)
Lineage: Eukaryota; Metazoa; Chordata; Mammalia; Rodentia; Muridae
Description: long non-coding RNA NONRATT018972
Source: RNAcentral